This 404-nucleotide ribosomal RNA is filed under the name Verrucomicrobiota bacterium. Its description in RNAcentral is "Verrucomicrobia bacterium partial 16S ribosomal RNA". It matches the Rfam family "Bacterial small subunit ribosomal RNA", at positions 355 to 776 of the family's 1533-position model. The record is from RNAcentral. Lineage: Bacteria; Pseudomonadati; Verrucomicrobiota.
UGGGGAAUAUUGCACAAUGGGGGAAACCCUGAUGCAGCGACGCCGCGUGAGCGAAGAAGGCUUUCGAGUCGUAAAGCUCUGUCCUAUGAGAAGAUAAUGACGGUAUCAUAGGAGGAAGCCCUGGCUAAAUACGUGCCAGCAGCCGCGGUAAUACGUAUGGGGCGAGCGUUGUCCGGAAUUAUUGGGCUUAAAGGGCAUCUAGGCGGUAAGACAAGUUGAAGGUGAAAACCUGUGGCUCAACCAUAGGCUUGCCUACAAAACUGUUGAACUAGAGUACUGGAAAGGUGGGUGGAACUACACGAGUAGAGGUGAAAUUCGUAGAUAUGUGUAGGAAUGCCGAUGAUGAAGAUAACUCACUGGACAGAAACUGACGCUGAAGUGCGAAAGCUAGGGGAGCAAACAGG